Molecule: long non-coding RNA, 704 nt
Filed under: Triticum aestivum (bread wheat)
Lineage: Eukaryota; Viridiplantae; Streptophyta; Magnoliopsida; Poales; Poaceae
Description: long non-coding RNA (TAES_LNC017204)
Source: RNAcentral
UUAUCCCACAUGUUUUAAUUUCCCUGAAUCACCCAUGCAAUGUCCGACUGAUAAAACGGUGUACAAAAAUAGUGGUUAGACAAACAGAUUCUGAAGACAUUAAGAUUCGAAAUUAAAAACCACAGGGCAAGGUGUGAGAUUGCUGAAACGAAUAAUGGCAACAUCAUACAAAUUACACCCUGUUUGUUACAAAAUGUGUGGAGUAUCUUUGAGAAUCUGUUAGAGGGGAUGUAAUACCUCAUUCUUGUGAUCUCCUAAGCCUUGUAAUUCUUGCAACCAGCAUACACAUAGAGAACAAAAGAAUUUCCAUCUCAUACAGAAAAUGUGUGUCUAUAUUCAGGCACACAUAAUCUUACCCCAAAACGAAGAAAACUGAUAAAUGUACACAUGAUAUUCCUGUAAGAAUUUGCCAAGAAUAUCAAGAAUGAGAAAGCAUGAGCACCAUAUUUAGUAGGGUGCAGGGACCUGUAACUCACCAAUCGCUUGAUAGCCAAAUUAGAGAGGGGGGCAAAACGCAUAAAUAUGAAAGCAGUGCAUUUGCUGCUCGGAAAGGUGAUGAUGGCCCUGUUCUGUCCAAGGUCAACAACCCCAAACGAACUCUAGCCUGCCAAUCACAUGGUCAGCAGCUGAAACAAACACAAACCAUACAAUCAGGUGAACCUGGACAGGAGGAGGAGGAGCUGAUUCUGUACCCUGUAGAUGAG